AUUCGUUCACUCCAAAAGGAGCGCAGUCCGAGCUAUACCAUGGAACGGGGGAUAGC
The submitters of this non-coding RNA (56 nucleotides) gave its source as unclassified sequences. The record is from Rfam.